RNAcentral lists this ribosomal RNA (253 nucleotides) under uncultured bacterium. RNAcentral describes it as "partial 16S ribosomal RNA". It matches the Rfam family "Bacterial small subunit ribosomal RNA", at positions 524 to 776 of the family's 1533-position model. The record is from RNAcentral.
CACGUAGGUGGCGAGCGUUAUCCGGAAUUACUGGGCGUAAAGGGUCCGUAGGUGGCCUGGCAGGUCUGCUGUGAAAGCGCCCGGCUCAACCGGGCGAGGCCAGUGGAAACCGCCGGGCUCGAGUCGCGCAGAGGGUUCUGGAAUUCCCGGUGUAGUGGUGGAAUGCGUAGAGAUCGGGAGGAACACCAGAGGCGAAGGCGGGGACCUGGGCGCGGACUGACACUGAGGGACGAAAGCGUGGGGAGCGAACAGG